GCUUGUCAGCAGCUAAACGUCUUUCAAUCAGUUUUACUUGGAAGUAUUCUCUACUUAAGAAGAAUGGGACCUUUUCAGACAUAUGAGGUGAAGGAAAAAGGAAGCAUGCGCAGCCGUAUCCCUCGAUUUGUCCUCCACCCCUUGCGUACUAAAGCAAAGGAGUCAUCGGGGCCUAACAUGCCAUUGUCAGAAGAGGAGAGCAAGGAUUUUGACAUUAGCUCCCAGCACUCGAAAAGAACCAUCAGUCCCA
Long non-coding RNA from Sinocyclocheilus grahami, 250 nucleotides. RefSeq lists it as uncharacterized. The record is from RefSeq and is a predicted model, not a curated record. The transcript has 3 exons. NCBI's taxonomy places the organism in Eukaryota, Metazoa, Chordata, Actinopteri, Cypriniformes, Cyprinidae.